RNAcentral lists this ribosomal RNA (1297 nucleotides) under metagenome. RNAcentral's name for it is "SSU rRNA". It matches the Rfam family "Eukaryotic small subunit ribosomal RNA", at positions 493 to 1783 of the family's 1831-position model. The record is from RNAcentral.
UUUUUGGGCUUGGUAAUUGGAAUGAGGGAGAGUUAAACGGACCAUCGAGUAUCCAUUGGAGGGCAAGUCUGGUGCCAGCAGCUGCGGUAAUACCAGCUCCAAUAGCGUAUAUUAAAGUUGUUGCAGUUAAAAAGCUCGUAGUUGGACUUGUGUGCGCUGUCCGCGGGUGGCCCGCGCCCAAAAGGGCGUUUCGGUUCGGCCCCGGUGGCGCCUUGAAAUCUGCAGCUGGGGGGACGUUGGCCUUAACUGGUCGGCGACCGCACGCCGGCUGCUCGGUUACUGUGAGAAAAUUAGAGUGUUCAAGGCAGGCAUUGGGUGCAAUUGAAUACAUUAGCAUGGAAUAAUAAAAUAUGGCUCCUGCCGUAUUUUGUUGGUUUUGACUGGUGGGAGUAAUGAUUGAUAGGGACGGUUGGGGGUGCUAGUAUUGAGCGGCCAGAGGUGAAAUUCAUGGAUUCGCUCAAGACUAAUUUAUGCGAAAGCAUUCACCAAGGACGUCCUCUUUAAUCAAGAACGAAAGUUGGGGGAUCGAAGACGAUCAGAUACCGUCGUAGUCUCAACCAUAAACUAUGUCGACUUGGGAUCGGCGGUAGUUUUUUCAUUAAGACACUGUCGGGACCACGGGAGAAAUCAAAGUGUCUGGACUCUGGGGGAAGUAUGGUCGCAAGGCUGAAACUUGAAGGAAUUGACGGAAGGGCACCACCAGGAGUGGAGCCUGCGGCUUAAUUUGACCCAACACGGGGAAACUUACCAGGUCCAGAGAUGUAGAGGAUUGACAGAUUGAAGCUCUUUCUUGAUCACUUCGGUGGUGGUGCAUGGCCGUUCUUAGUUGGUGGAGUGAUUUGUCUGGUUAAUUCCGUUAACGAACGAGACCUCAGCCUGCUAGUGUAGUCGGCUGGAUUGCCUUUGGCGAUCCGUGAUUUCGACUUCUUAGAGGGACAAUCGACGCGCAGUCGAUGGAAGUUUGAGGCAAUAACAGGUCUGUGAUGCCCUUAGAUGUUCUGGGCCGCACGCGCGCUACACUGCUGGGCUCAGCGAGUUUUACUUGGCCGAGAGGCCCGGUUAAUCUUGUGAAAUCCCAGCGUGCUUGGGCUCGCCUCCUGCAACUGGAGGCGCCAACGAGGAAUUCCUAGUAGACGCAGGUCAUCAACCUGCAUCGAUUACGUCCCUGCCCUUUGUACACACCGCCCGUCGUUCCAUAAGAGUGAGGCAUCCGGUGAAUUCUCGGGAGAGCCUGGGCGUGGCCAGCAAUGGUCUGCUCGGGUUUGAACUUGCAUAAACUUGGUGCCUAUGAUUAGGG